Long non-coding RNA from Quercus lobata, 821 nucleotides. RefSeq lists it as uncharacterized. Lineage: Eukaryota; Viridiplantae; Streptophyta; Magnoliopsida; Fagales; Fagaceae. The transcript has 3 exons. The record is from RefSeq and is a predicted model, not a curated record.
UAGGGGUUGUUGGCCUAGAAAUUAUCGCACGUUCUGGAAGUAUGAGAGAAUCAUACGUUACAAAGCUAAUUAGCGUACGUUACAAAGCUAACACACAAUAAAUAGCCUCACCAUGCCUCAGUCUUCUUCACUUCUCAAUUCUCAUAGAAACCUUUGUGAUCAAAGAGUGAGUGAGAAAUACAAUCCUUCUAUAUAGAUAUCUGUAGGUAGGUAAACUCCAAUGGAGGAGAAUAGAGAAAUUCUCAUAUUCUCAAACAAGAAGAGAAUCAAACAGCAGCAUCAACAGAAAAGUUUGUGCUCACAGCGAAUCAGCGAAUUACCAGAUUUCCACAUUAUGACUCACCUUCAAAUUCCUAGAAGAUUCAUGGAUGCAGCCAGAUGAGGUGGGGUUGUAUAACCAAUGCUUUGUGUUGAUUACGAGAUGCAAUUAAGGAAUCAACAUGAAAGCAUUGGUUAACACUGGAUUGAACAUAGCGUCAAAGAGCUUGAACUCUGCUUCUCAAAAGGAAAACAGUUCAGCAUCUUUGAUCAGAAUGGUUGGUAGUGAUGCUUGCACGUUCAGAUGCCCAAGAUAUCCCAAGAAGAUUUCUAGUGCAGAAAUAAAAGAUAACUACUGACCAUAUAUCUAUUUCUUCCAGUGGGCCAUAUGAAGCGGGUGAACAAUAUCACUAUCUUUUUGUUGUUGCAGUUGUUUUUGUGUGGUGAACAAUAUCACUAUCAGAUAAUGUGUACAGUACGCUUAAUUACUACAGAUUAUAGGAGCCUCAAACCAUUGAUUGUACAUGUUAGUUGUCUCAUACAAGUCAGAUCAGUGAUUACCA